CCUACGGGGCGCAGCAGUGGGGAAUAUUGCACAAUGGGCGCAAGCCUGAUGCAGCCAUGCCGCGUGUAUGAAGAAGGCCUUCGGGUUGUAAAGUACUUUCAGCGGGGAGGAAGGCGAUAAGGUUAAUAACCUUGUCGAUUGACGUUACCCGCAGAAGAAGCACCGGCUAACUCCGUGCCAGCAGCCGCGGUAAUACGGAGGGUGCAAGCGUUAAUCGGAAUUACUGGGCGUAAAGCUCACGCAGGCGGUCUGUCAAGUCGGAUGUGAAAUCCCCGGGCUCAACCUGGGAACUGCAUUCGAAACUGGCAGGCUGGAGUCUUGUAGAGGGGGGUAGAAUUCCAGGUGUAGCGGUGAAAUGCGUAGAGAUCUGGAGGAAUACCGGUGGCGAAGGCGGCCCCCUGGACAAAGACUGACGCUCAGGCGCGAAAGCGUAGGGAGCAAACAGGAUUAGAUACCCCUGUAGUC
RNAcentral lists this ribosomal RNA (465 nucleotides) under uncultured bacterium. RNAcentral describes it as "bacterial SSU rRNA". It matches the Rfam family "Bacterial small subunit ribosomal RNA", at positions 338 to 795 of the family's 1533-position model. The record is from RNAcentral.